This 330-nucleotide ribosomal RNA is filed under the name uncultured Nitrospirota bacterium. Its description in RNAcentral is "bacterial SSU rRNA". It matches the Rfam family "Bacterial small subunit ribosomal RNA", at positions 32 to 351 of the family's 1533-position model. The record is from RNAcentral. Lineage: Bacteria; Pseudomonadati; Nitrospirota.
AGUCAACGUUGGCGGCGUGCUUAACACAUGCAAGUCGAACGAUCCUUGAGUGGCUUGCCAUUCAAGGAGAGUGGCAAACGGGUGAGUAACACGUGAGUAAUCUGCCCUCGAGUGGGGAACAACCUCGCGAAAGCGGGGCGUAAUACCGCAUAAUAUUCUGGAGUAUAAGCUUUCAGAAUCAAAGCCCUCAGGGGCGCUUGAGGAUGAGCUUGCGUCCUAUUAGCUUGUUGGUAGGGUAAUGGCCUACCAAGGUAAUGAUGGGUAGCCGGCCUGAGAGGGUGUACGGCCACACUGGGACUGCGACACGGCCCAGACACCUACGGGAGGCAG